GGUCUCCGCGCUCAACCGGUAGAGCGCGUGCCUGAAAAACACGAGGUUCCUAGUUCAAGUCCGGGGUGAGCACGA
This 75-nucleotide transfer RNA is filed under the name Arthrobacter terricola. Its description in RNAcentral is "Arthrobacter sp. JH1-1 tRNA-Phe". The stretch from base 10 to 65 matches the Rfam family "tRNA", at positions 10 to 63 of the family's 71-position model. From Rfam's summary of the family: Transfer RNA (tRNA) molecules are approximately 80 nucleotides in length. Their secondary structure includes four short double-helical elements and three loops (D, anti-codon, and T loops). Lineage: Bacteria; Bacillati; Actinomycetota; Actinomycetes; Micrococcales; Micrococcaceae. The record is from RNAcentral.